CCUACGGGAGGCAGCAGUGGGGAAUAUUGGACAAUGGGCGAAAGCCUGAUCCAGCCAUGCCGCGUGUGUGAAGAAGGCCUUCGGGUUGUAAAGCACUUUCAGUGGGGAAGAAAGCCUUGGGGCUAAUACCCUCGAGGAAGGACAUCACCCACAGAAGAAGCACCGGCUAACUCCGUGCCAGCAGCCGCGGUAAUACGGAGGGUGCGAGCGUUAAUCGGAAUUACUGGGCGUUAAGCGCGCGUAGGCGGUCUGAUAAGCCGGUUGUGAAAGCCCCGGGCUCAACCUGGGAACGGCAUCCGGAACUGUCAGGCUAGAGUGCAGGAGAGGAAGGUAGAAUUCCCGGUGUAGCGGUGAAAUGCGUAGAGAUCGGGAGGAAUACCAGUGGCGAAGGCGGCCUUCUGGACUGACACUGACGCUGAGGUGCGAAAGCGUGGGUAGCAAACAGGAUUAGAUACCCCAGUAGUC
Molecule: ribosomal RNA, 465 nt
Filed under: Vreelandella stevensii
Lineage: Bacteria; Pseudomonadati; Pseudomonadota; Gammaproteobacteria; Oceanospirillales; Halomonadaceae
Description: partial 16S ribosomal RNA
Rfam family: Bacterial small subunit ribosomal RNA
Source: RNAcentral